GACGUUAAUGUCUCGUCCG
This 19-nucleotide small nuclear RNA is filed under the name Arabidopsis thaliana (thale cress). Its description in RNAcentral is "snRNA_04652". Lineage: Eukaryota; Viridiplantae; Streptophyta; Magnoliopsida; Brassicales; Brassicaceae. The record is from RNAcentral.